ACGGGGCCCGCACAGGCGGUGGAGCAUGUGGUUUAAUUCGAAGCAACGCGAAGAACCUUACCAGGUCUUGACAUCCCCUGACAACCCGAGAGAUCGGGCGUUCCCCUUCGGGGGACAGGGUGACAGGUGGUGCAUGGUUGUCGUCAGCUCGUGUCGUGAGAUGUUGGGUUAAGUCCCGCAACGAGCGCAACCCUCGACCUUAGUUGCCAGCAUUCAGUUGGGCACUCUAAGGUGACUGCCGGCUAAAAGUCGGAGGAAGGUGGGGAUGACGUCAAAUCAUCAUGCCCCUUAUGACCUGGGCUACACACGUGCUACAAUGGGCGGUACAAAGGGUCGCGAACCCGCGAGGGGGAGCCAAUCCCAAAAAGCCGCUCCCAGUUCGGAUUGCAGGCUGCAACUCGCCUGCAUGAAGCCGGAAUCGCUAGUAAUCGCGGAUCAGCAUGCCGCGGUGAAUACGUUCCCGGGCCUU
This 469-nucleotide ribosomal RNA is filed under the name uncultured Anoxybacillus sp. RNAcentral's name for it is "bacterial SSU rRNA". It matches the Rfam family "Bacterial small subunit ribosomal RNA", at positions 916 to 1381 of the family's 1533-position model. The record is from RNAcentral. Lineage: Bacteria; Bacillati; Bacillota; Bacilli; Caryophanales; Anoxybacillaceae.